Molecule: ribosomal RNA, 497 nt
Filed under: uncultured bacterium
Lineage: Bacteria
Description: partial 16S ribosomal RNA
Rfam family: Bacterial small subunit ribosomal RNA
Source: RNAcentral
GAUGAACGCUGGCGGCGUGCCUAAUACAUGCCAGUCGAGCGAACGGACGAGAAGCGUGCUUCUCUGAUGUUAGCGGCGGACGGGUGAGUAAGACGUGGAUAACCUACCUAUAAGACUGGGAGAACUUCGGGAAACCGGAGCUAAUACCGGAUAAUAUUUUGAACGGCAGGGUUCAAAAGUGAAAGACGGUCUGGCUGUCACUUAUAGAUGGAGCCGCGGUGCAUUAGCUAGUUGGUAAGGUAACGGCUUACCAAGGCAACGAUGCGUAGCCGACCUGAGAGGGUGAUCGGCCACACUGGAACUGAGACACGGUCCAGACUCCUACGGGAGGCAGCAGUAGGGAAUCUUGCGCAAUGGGCGAAAGCCUGACGGAGCAACGCCGCGUGAGUGAUGAAGGUCUUCGGAUCGUAAAACUCUGUUAUUAGGGAAGAACAUAUGUGUAAGUAACUGUCCACAUCUUGACGGUACCUAAUCAGAAAGCCCCGGCUAACUACGUG